GAUGAAGAACGUAGCGAAAUGCGAUAAGUAAUGCGAAUUGCAGAAUUCAGUGAAUCAUCGAAUCUUUGAACGCACAUUGCGCCCCUUGGUAUUCCAUGGGGCAUGCCUGUUCGAGCGUCAUUUGUACCUUCAAGCUCUGCUUGGUGUUGGGUGUUUGUCUCGCCUCUGCGCGCAGACUCGCCUCAAAACAAUUGGCAGCCGGCGUAUUGAUUUCGGAGCGCAGUACAUCUCGCGCUUUGCACUCAUAACGACGACGUCCAUAAAGUACAUUUUUUACACUCUUGACCUCGGAUCAGGUAGGGAUACCCGCUGAACUUAAGCAUAUCAAUAAGCGGAGGA
This 339-nucleotide unclassified non-coding RNA is filed under the name soil metagenome. RNAcentral's name for it is "partial contains 5.8S ribosomal RNA, internal transcribed spacer 2, and large subunit ribosomal RNA". The stretch from base 1 to 120 matches the Rfam family "5.8S ribosomal RNA", at positions 35 to 154 of the family's 154-position model. The record is from RNAcentral.